Molecule: long non-coding RNA, 309 nt
Organism: Girardinichthys multiradiatus
Lineage: Eukaryota; Metazoa; Chordata; Actinopteri; Cyprinodontiformes; Goodeidae
Exons: 4
Source: RefSeq, a predicted model, not a curated record
UGAGACAGACUACAGUUGGGCUUUGAUAAACAGCGUGCUUUUAUCUUUCAACAAGGAAGAUAUUUGUGAACUUUAACAACUAUGAAGCAGUUCUACCAUUUGUGCUGGUGAACAACAACCACUGGAAGUUGCUGUACAUCAAAACAAAAGCCAGCACAGUAUUCCUUAUGGAUCCUGCACAACUCUCAUCAGAGCUUGAGGACUCCAAAAAUGCAGCUAAAAGAAUACAAUGGCGAUAGCACUGAUGGAAGCCUUUCCAGUUAUGCCAGAUGUGGAAUUUGACACAAGCAAAAAAAGCAAUGAAAGAUG